Molecule: ribosomal RNA, 440 nt
Filed under: uncultured bacterium
Lineage: Bacteria
Description: partial 16S ribosomal RNA
Rfam family: Bacterial small subunit ribosomal RNA
Source: RNAcentral
CCUACGGGUGGCAGCAGUGGGGGAUAUUGCACAAUGGGGGAAACCCUGAUGCAGCAACGCCGCGUGUGGGAAGAAGGUCCUCCGAUUGUUAACCACUUUUUUUGGUGAAGUUAAUGACGCUAACCAAGGAGAAAGCUACGGCUAAUUCCGUUCCAGCACCCGCGGUAAUACGUAGGGAGCAGGCGUUGUCCGGAUUUACUGGGUGUAAAGGGUGCGUAGGCGGUCUUGCAAGUCAGACGUGAAAACCACAGGCUCAACCUGUGGACUGCGUUUGAAACUGUGGGGCUUGAGUGGAGUAGAGGUAGGCGGAAUUCCCGGUGUAGCGGUGAAAUGCGUAGAGAGCGGGAGGAACACCAGUGGCGAAGGCGGCCUACUGGGCUUUAACUGACGCUGAGGCACGAAAGUAUGGGUAGCAAACAGGAUUAGAUACCCGUGUAGUC